RNAcentral lists this ribosomal RNA (253 nucleotides) under uncultured bacterium. RNAcentral describes it as "partial 16S ribosomal RNA". It matches the Rfam family "Bacterial small subunit ribosomal RNA", at positions 524 to 776 of the family's 1533-position model. The record is from RNAcentral.
GACAGAGGGGGCAAGCGUUGCUCGGAAUCACUGGGCGUAAAGGGCGCGUAGGCGGGAUGGCAAGUCGGUCGUGAAAUCCUUCGGCUCAACCGAAGAACGUCGGCCGAUACUGCCGUUCUUGAGGGAUGCAGAGGAGAUUGGAAUUCCCGGUGUAGCGGUGAAAUGUGUAGAGAUCGGGAGGAACACCGGUGGCGAAGGCGGGUCUCUGGGCAUCUCCUGACGCUGAGGCGCGAAAGCGUGGGGAGCAAACGGA